This 425-nucleotide ribosomal RNA is filed under the name uncultured bacterium. RNAcentral's name for it is "bacterial SSU rRNA". It matches the Rfam family "Bacterial small subunit ribosomal RNA", at positions 356 to 773 of the family's 1533-position model. The record is from RNAcentral.
GGGGAAUAUUGGACAAUGGGCGAAAGCCUGAUCCAGCCAUGCCGCGUGUGUGAAGAAGGUCUUCGGAUUGUAAAGCACUUUAAGUUGGGAGGAAGGGCAUUAACCUAAUACGUUGGUGUCUUGACGUUACCGACAGAAUAAGCACCGGCUAACUCUGUGCCAGCAGCCGCGGUAAUACAGAGGGUGCAAGCGUUAAUCGGAAUUACUGGGCGUAAAGCGCGCGUAGGUGGUUUGUUAAGUUGAAUGUGAAAUCCCCGGGCUCAACCUGGGAACUGCAUCCAAAACUGGCAAGCUAGAGUAUGGUAGAGGGUAGUGGAAUUUCCUGUGUAGCGGUGAAAUGCGUAGAUAUAGGAAGGAACACCAGUGGCGAAGGCGACUACCUGGACUGAUACUGACACUGAGGUGCGAAAGCGUGGGGAGCAAAC